RNAcentral lists this ribosomal RNA (253 nucleotides) under uncultured bacterium. RNAcentral's name for it is "partial 16S ribosomal RNA". It matches the Rfam family "Bacterial small subunit ribosomal RNA", at positions 524 to 776 of the family's 1533-position model. The record is from RNAcentral.
UACGUAGGGGGCAAGCGUUGUCCGGAUUUACUGGGCGUAAAGAGCGUGUAGGCGGCCAAGCAGGUCCGUUGUGAAAACUGGAGGCUUAACCUCCAGACGUCGACGGAAACCGCGUGGCUAGAGUCCGGAAGAGGAGAGUGGAAUUCCUGGUGUAGCGGUGAAAUGCGCAGAUAUCAGGAAGAACACCAAUGGCGAAAGCAGCUCGCUGGGACGUUACUGACGCUGAGGAGCGAAAGCGUGGGGAGCGAACAGG